This 72-nucleotide transfer RNA is filed under the name Enterococcus faecalis. RNAcentral's name for it is "tRNA-Gly". It matches the Rfam family "tRNA". From Rfam's summary of the family: Transfer RNA (tRNA) molecules are approximately 80 nucleotides in length. Lineage: Bacteria; Bacillati; Bacillota; Bacilli; Lactobacillales; Enterococcaceae. The record is from RNAcentral.
GCGGAAAUAGCUCAGUGGUAGAGCACCACCUUGCCAAGGUGGUGGUCGCCGGUUCGAACCCAGUAUUCAGCU